GAGGAUAUAGCUCAGUGGUAGAGUGCCUACUUAGCAUGCAUAAGGUCCUGGGUUCAAUCCCCAGUGCCUCCA
This 72-nucleotide transfer RNA is filed under the name Camelus bactrianus (Bactrian camel). It matches the Rfam family "tRNA". Rfam says of the family: Transfer RNA (tRNA) molecules are approximately 80 nucleotides in length. Their secondary structure includes four short double-helical elements and three loops (D, anti-codon, and T loops). RNAcentral also lists the same sequence under 2 other names. Lineage: Eukaryota; Metazoa; Chordata; Mammalia; Artiodactyla; Camelidae. The record is from Rfam by way of RNAcentral.